GAAAAAUACUGCCAACCUCCUUCCUUCGAUAACAUGUUUAUUUACAACUGAAAAUGGUGCCUUCAUUGCCAUGUGAACUGACUCUAGAAAUUCUCUCCGACAACUCCUCCUUGAAUAAUCCAUUCCAACUAUCUGACUACAAAACCUUCCUCAUUUUCCAUUCCAAAGACUACCCCUCCUGCUCUCAAUGACCAAAGCAGAUUAUUGGUAGAAAUCGUGAGUUUGGAGGUAUCCAUAUCUUUAACACACGGGCAUUGAGAUCUAUUGCUUAUUCUAGUGUUUUGACCCCUUUGAGGUGCAUUUUG
This 305-nucleotide unclassified non-coding RNA is filed under the name Hevea brasiliensis (rubber tree). Lineage: Eukaryota; Viridiplantae; Streptophyta; Magnoliopsida; Malpighiales; Euphorbiaceae. The record is from RNAcentral.